RNAcentral lists this unclassified non-coding RNA (350 nucleotides) under Hevea brasiliensis (rubber tree). The record is from RNAcentral. Lineage: Eukaryota; Viridiplantae; Streptophyta; Magnoliopsida; Malpighiales; Euphorbiaceae.
GUGGAGUUGCUGUGCUUAUAAGGGAUUGAAGAAGAAAUAGAGCCUUAUAUAAAAGGUGCAAUUUGGUUUAAUUGUGAGACAAAAUAUCGGUUGGCCAUGUAAGGUGAUGAGGAUUGUAGCUUGGAAAUUAAACCAGGGCAAAUUUCGUUUGCUUCUUUCUUUCUUUCUUCUUUUAUUUUCUUUUUUAAGAAAUUUAAUGCACCCUUUUGCCAAUAAUUGAUUUUUUUUUUCUUGUUUAUGUUUUUGUAAUCUCUUAUUUCCUUGUAUUUUUUGUGAUUGAAUCGAAAUCAUUUUUGUGCUUUAUUGUGUGUUGCUUGUGAUGUUGCAGGCAGUACAGGUGAAAGUUACAA